This 516-nucleotide ribosomal RNA is filed under the name uncultured bacterium. RNAcentral's name for it is "partial 16S ribosomal RNA". It matches the Rfam family "Bacterial small subunit ribosomal RNA", at positions 28 to 523 of the family's 1533-position model. The record is from RNAcentral.
GAUGAACGCUGGCGGCGUGCCUAAUACAUGCAAGUCGAGCGAAUGGAUUAAGAGAUUGCUCUUAUGAAGUUAGCGGCGGACGGGUGAGUAACACGUGGGUAACGUGCCCAUAAGACUGGGAUAACUCCGGGAAACCGGGGCUCAUACCGGAUAAUAUUUUGAACCGCAUGGUUCGAAACUGAAAGGCGGCUUCGGCUGUCACUUAUGGAUGGACCCGCGUCGCAUUAGCUAGUUGGUGAGGUAACGGCUCACCAAGGCAACGAUGCGUAGCCGACCUGAGAGGGUGAUCGGCCACACUGGGACUGAGAAACGGCCCAGACUCCUACGGGAGGCAGCAGUAGGGAAAUCUUCCGCAAUGGACGAAAGUCUGACGGGGCAACGCAGCGUGAGUGAUGAAGGCUUUCGGGUCGUAAAACUCUGUUGUUAGGGAAGAACAAGUGCUAGUUGAAUAAGCUGGCACCUUGACGGUACCUAUCCAGAAAGCCACGGCUAACUACGUGCCAGCCGCCGCCGUAA